CUUGGAGUCCGAACUCUCACUUUCUAACCCUGUGCAUUUGUUUGGGAUAGUAACUCUCGCAAGAGAGCGAACUCCUAUUCACUUAUAAACACAAAGUCUAUGAAUGUAUUUAAUUUUAUAACAAAAUAAAACUUUCAACAACGGAUCUCUUGGCUCUCGCAUCGAUGAAGAACGCAGCGAAAUGCGAUAAGUAAUGUGAAUUGCAGAAUUCAGUGAAUCAUCGAAUCUUUGAACGCACCUUGCGCUCCAUGGUAUUCCGUGGAGCAUGCCUGUUUGAGUGUCAUGAAUACUUCAACCCUCCUCUUUCUUAAUGAUUGAAGAGGUGUUUGGAUUCUGAGCGCUGCUGGCCUUACGGUCUAGCUCGUUCGUAAUGCAUUAGCAUCCGCAAUCGAACUUCGGAUUGACUUGGCGUAAUAGACUAUUCGCUGAGGAAUUCUAAUCUUCGGAUUAGAGCCGGGUUAGGUUAAAGGAAGCUUCUAAUCAGAAUGUCUACAUUUUAAGAUUAGAUCUCAAAUCAGGUAGGACUACCCGCUGAACUUAAGCAUAUCAAUAA
RNAcentral lists this ribosomal RNA (553 nucleotides) under Rhodotorula dairenensis. RNAcentral's name for it is "eukaryotic LSU rRNA". The stretch from base 130 to 283 matches the Rfam family "5.8S ribosomal RNA". The record is from RNAcentral. Lineage: Eukaryota; Fungi; Basidiomycota; Microbotryomycetes; Sporidiobolales; Sporidiobolaceae.